GUGGAACACUCCCACGGUGACGUCAGAUAGCGUGCUCGACGUCAGAACAGCUGAGCACCAGGCAGACAGCCAUCCCACAGGAUCCAUGCAGAAACUGCUCAGAAUACUGCUGGACCUGGCUAUCGCCUGGAGGCUGUGGUCCACUCAAUAUCCAUUAAUGAAAGUCAUAUGACUAAGAGCUCAACAUCCGCCAACAGAAGAGAGUAAAUACUUCUCAUUCUGCAAUAAAACAAAAUCCUGCUUCCCAUCUCGUCAGUCCAACUCCCUUCACCUGCCUCUGAUCACUCCCUAGUUAGUCCCUCAUUACCUUCACCUGGUCUUCAUGCCCAUCUCAACUGUUGCCCAUUCCCUAAUUAGUCCCUGUCUACUUAGGUUCCCUUACUUGCACUUGUCCUCUGCCAGAUUGUCUUGUGUUUUUCUGACCAAGCCCAAGCGUUCCACAGUGUGUUUGAUUAUUCUGUCUGUUCCGUUGCUGACGACGCUCUCAGUAAAGAAUCUUUAUUUGCA
Molecule: long non-coding RNA, 507 nt
Organism: Pseudoliparis swirei
Lineage: Eukaryota; Metazoa; Chordata; Actinopteri; Perciformes; Liparidae
Exons: 3
Source: RefSeq, a predicted model, not a curated record